RNAcentral lists this long non-coding RNA (432 nucleotides) under Numida meleagris (helmeted guineafowl). RNAcentral's name for it is "lncRNA (ENSNMEG00000006856.1)". Lineage: Eukaryota; Metazoa; Chordata; Aves; Galliformes; Numididae. The record is from RNAcentral.
ACUCAUUAGAGUGAUUCCACGCUUCUUAAUACCCACUGGGAUUGCUUUAUUAUUUGAUAGAGUCAACAGUUGGCAUAUGCCAGAGUGUCUUUGUAUUCAGCUCCCUCAAAACCUCUGAAGACAGCUGAACAAAGGAAAUGAAUAACCAGCUUUGUUUCCCUCUCUCUCCCAAGAUUUCUUAAUGUUGACACCAGUGACUCCUUAACAUCACCGCUAAAGGAUCUCUUUAUCAGCCCUCUCCCACAGGCUUCUGAAGCAGAUGAGAAUGAGUUGGAGAACCAGGAGAACUUCCUCUUCUAGUCCUGGAGUGAAACGAUGAGGUAUAUUCAUCUAAGUUCUUGAAAGCUAAGGUGAGCAGAGCAAUUCAAUUGCCCCGUUUUCAUGAAUGUGUCAUUUUAAAAUAAAUAUAUUUUAGAAAUUCUAUCCCUUUCA